UAACAGGGCCCAGAGUCAAGAGUCUGUUGUAUGGCCGUCGUGGUGUUUGGUGUUGCCAAGUCGGGUCCCGAUGAUGGUGACAGUGCCCGGAGAAAUGUCUGAACUCAAAUCCGGGUAGGUAAUGCGGAGGGAAAACUGGAAAGGGGAGCGUGGAGAGCGGAGGAGGUCUUGAUUUUUUUUCCCAUUGUCUGUAUGGGCUCACUGACUGACCCUCCCUUUCGUCUGCUCGCCUCAGACGCAGGUGCGCCGCUGGUUCCCUCCAGCUGCCGCCGGACUCCGGGCGCGCACCGAGGAGGUAACCGGGGGCAGUUCCAUUGUCGGUACUUCCAGUUUUAAGAAGUCACCGUACGCCACCGAAGAACCUGUACCCUGCGUGUCCUACUCUGUACACCGUAUACGUCCUACCGAAAACUGCCGACGACGGGACUAACAUUCAAGGGACCACUACUAACGGGUUAGUAAACCCCACGGACGUUGGUACGAAAGGUAGAAGUGACGUAUGAGUUCACCCAGUUAAGAGUUUGUAGUUAGGGGGAAACGGGGUACACAGCAUCCCUCACCGUUAAGUUCCCGAUUCCUGUAGAGUUUGAUACAGUCAUGGUCCUCAAAAGUAUAGAGGAGCAUCCUUUGAUCUUACUUACACAUUGACCUUACAUCAACCCAAUAGAACAUUCACGGGAAAGUAUGAAAGACCUUUAGUCCUACCAGCCAUAGAAAGUUCAUUUCGACACUCUGGAAACUCGGUGUCGAUAACACAGAAACGUUCAACACUGGUAUGUUUAGGUUACUAACUGAAACUUUUCAGUCGUCGGACUCUAACACUGUAAAAAAGAACAAGUCGAAAAAUGGAUGUCUACCGGAGGGUACAUCGUUAAACUAAGACCAACCUAUCAUAUAUGACAUCUAUAUUGUUGAUCGAACAAGACGAUCUGAAUGUAAGUAAAAUUG
RNAcentral lists this ribosomal RNA (948 nucleotides) under Triticum aestivum (bread wheat). RNAcentral's name for it is "partial small subunit ribosomal RNA". The record is from RNAcentral. Lineage: Eukaryota; Viridiplantae; Streptophyta; Magnoliopsida; Poales; Poaceae.